This 928-nucleotide long non-coding RNA is filed under the name Homo sapiens (human). RNAcentral describes it as "long non-coding RNA NONHSAT216958.1". The record is from RNAcentral. Lineage: Eukaryota; Metazoa; Chordata; Mammalia; Primates; Hominidae.
GCGCUCUUGCGGCCACAGGCGCGGCGUCCUCGGCGGCGGGCGGCAGCUAGCGGGAGCCGGGACGCCGGUGCAGCCGCAGCGCGCGGAGGAACCCGGGUGUGCCGGGAGCUGGGCGGCCACGUCCGGACGGGACCGAGACCCCUCGUAGCGCAUUGCGGCGACCUCGCCUUCCCCGGCCGCGAGCGCGCCGCUGCUUGAAAAGCCGCGGAACCCAAGGACUUUUCUCCGGUCCGAGCUCGGGGCGCCCCGCAGGGCGCACGGUACCCGUGCUGCAGUCGGGCACGCCGCGGCGCCGGGGCCUCCGCAGGGCGAUGGAGCCCGGUCUGCAAGGAAAGUGAGGCGCCGCCGCUGCGUUCUGGAGGAGGGGGGCACAAGGUCUGGAGACCCCGGGUGGCGGACGGGAGCCCUCCCCCCGCCCCGCCUCCGGGGCACCAGCUCCGGCUCCAUUGUUCCCGCCCGGGCUGGAGGCGCCGAGCACCGAGCGCCGCCGGGAGUCGAGCGCCGGCCGCGGAGCUCUUGCGACCCCGCCAGGACCCGAACAGAGCCCGGGGGCGGCGGGCCGGAGCCGGGGACGCGGGCACACGCCCGCUCGCACAAGCCACGGCGGACUCUCCCGAGGCGGAACCUCCACGCCGAGCGAGGGUCAGUUUGAAAAGGAGGAUCGAGCUCACUGUGGAGUAUCCAUGGAGAUGUGGAGCCUUGUCACCAACCUCUAACUGCAGAACUGGGAUGUGGAGCUGGAAGUGCCUCCUCUUCUGGGCUGUGCUGGUCACAGCCACACUCUGCACCGCUAGGCCGUCCCCGACCUUGCCUGAACAAGAUGCUCUCCCCUCCUCGGAGGAUGAUGAUGAUGAUGAUGACUCCUCUUCAGAGGAGAAAGAAACAGAUAACACCAAACCAAACCCCGUAGCUCCAUAUUGGACAUCCC